Hevea brasiliensis (rubber tree) is the source of this 2241-nucleotide RNA transcript. RefSeq lists it as uncharacterized. The record is from RefSeq and is a predicted model, not a curated record. The transcript has 10 exons. Lineage: Eukaryota; Viridiplantae; Streptophyta; Magnoliopsida; Malpighiales; Euphorbiaceae.
AAAAAACAUAUUUAUAUUGGCACUUGUCCACAAUGUCUCCAAUACUCGUGUUUCAAUGUUUUCUGUUAUUUUUCAUUCUCUUAGCCUCAUCAACUGCACCGAUUAAUAUUCCAAGGCUUAGUCCAAUAGGACCAAGAAUUCUUGAAGAUUCAGAUGAGAUUUUGCCUAAAUCAAUUUCAGAUGAUCUGGAGACUUUCUUUUACAACCAAACCCUUGAUCACUUCAACUAUAAACCUGAAAGCUACAAUACCUUUGAGCAAAGAUAUGUUAUCAGUUCCAAAUACUGGGGUGGUGCUAAUUCUCUUGCACCUAUUCUUGUGUAUUUUGGAGCAGAAGCACCACUUGAUGGUGAUCUUGCUGUUGUUGGUUUUCUCUCUGACAAUGCGUUUCGAUUGAAUGCUCUUCUGUUAUAUAUAGAGCAUAGAUACUAUGGGAAAUCAAUCCCAUCUGGAUCAAGGGAAGAAGCCUUCAAAAAUGGACGCACUCGUGGGUAUUUCAACUCUGCACAAGCUAUUGCAGACUAUGCAGAAAUUAUCAUUCAUGUCAAGAAACUCUUACAUGCUGAAAAUUCUCCGGUUAUCGCCAUCGGAGGAUCCUAUGGUGGAAUGUUGGCUUGCUGGUUUCGGCUCAAGUACCCUCACAUAGCCCUUGGAGCUUUGGCCUCAUCAGCACCUGUUCUUUAUGUUGAUCAUAUUUCGCCGCCUGAUGGACAUGAUUCCAUCGUUGCGAAUGAUUUUAGAGAAGCUAGUGAGACUUGCUACCAGACAAUAAAGAAGUCAUGGGCAGAAAUUGAUGAAAUUGCAUCUAAACCCAAUGGCCUUUCAAUCCUCAGCAAGAAAUUCAAAACUUGCAAAUCCUUAACUGACUCCUAUGAGCUCAAAAACUACUUGGUUUCCAUGUAUAGUGGCGCUGCUCAGUACAAUAAGCCACCCACAUAUCCUGUAAAUAUAGUCUGCAGUGGCAUAGAUGGAAGCUCAAGCACCGAUUCUGGCAAAGAUAAUCUAAGCAAAAUAUUUGCUGGUCUUUUUGCUUACAUGGGAGACAGAUCUUGCUAUAUUAAUUCACCCGCUAAUGUACCUGAAACAAGUAUGGGGUGGAGAUGGGAGACAUGUAGCGAGAUGGUGAUACCUAUUGGCCGCGGGAAUGACACCAUGUUCCCCCCUGACCCUUUUGACCUCAAGAGCUACAUCCAAGAUUGCAAAGAUUUGUUUGGCGUUCCACCCCGUCCUCAUUGGGUCACUGCCUAUUAUGGAAACCACAGUAUAAAAGUUAUUCUCCAGAGGUAUGGCAGCAACAUCAUUUUCUCCAAUGGAUUGAAAGAUCCUUAUAGUAGUGGCGGGGUGUUGGAGAACUUAUCGGACAACAUAACUGCUGUUUAUACAGUUAACGGGUCUCAUUGCUUGGACAUACUUUUUGCAAACAAAACAACUGAUCCAGUGUGGUUGGUAGCACAACGAGAAGUUGAGAUCAAAAUUAUUGAAGGGUGGAUUAAUGAGUACUAUGAUGAUCUAAGAAAUCAGCACCCUAAUAUAGCCCGUCGAGCUUUGGCCUCAUCAGCAACUGUUCACUCUCAUCAUAUUUCGCCUCCAGAUGAGCAUGAUUAAAUCUUUAGAGUAAUCUACUGUUAGGAAGAGAGUUAAGUGAGUAAGUCUACUGUGCAGUUGCUGAGUUGGCAAUAAGUGGCGGGAACAAUUAAUAAUUGGUUAGCUGUAUUAGUCAAUCAAUGUAAGUCUUGUAUUGAGAAAGUAGAGUCAUGCAUUGAGAGUAUAAAUGCUUUGUGCUGCUGAAGAAUACAUUUAAUGCAAUUAGUAAAACAAAUAUCAUUUCUUCCCUAAUUCUUUAUCUCUUUUCUCUCUCCCUUUUUUCUCUUUUUCUCGAAUCUUCUUUGUUGCUCUUCUCUCUCUUCUCUUCACUAUUCUGUUCUUCUCUUCUCUAUUCCAAUCCUUCUCUGAAUUGUGAGUUAGGAAGCUAGUGAGACUUGCUACCAGACAAUAAAGAAGUCAUGGGCAGAAAUUGGUUUUGUUGUUUGUCUUUUGUUGUUUCUUUCAAUAAACUCUCUAAUCUAUGUCCAUUUGGAAUAUAUUUGGGUUUACCUCUUCAUAUCUAUGUCCGUUAGUUUCUUUGCUUCAAAGAGGUUCCAACUGAGAUUUCUUUAUGAGUUUUAUGUUUUCUUUUCUUUAUUUAGUCUAUGGAUUUGAUUUUAUUUUCAUUCAAUAUUAUGAAUUUUAUGCUUUGAUUCAA